RNAcentral lists this ribosomal RNA (236 nucleotides) under uncultured bacterium. RNAcentral's name for it is "partial 16S ribosomal RNA". It matches the Rfam family "Bacterial small subunit ribosomal RNA", at positions 16 to 229 of the family's 1533-position model. The record is from RNAcentral.
AUCAUGGCUCAGGACGAACGCUGGCGGCGUGCUUAACACAUGCAAGUCGAACGAAGGGCGAUGGAAGCUUGCUUCUAUCAAUCUUAGUGGCGAACGGGUGAGUAACGCGUAAUCAACCUGCCCUUCAGAGGGGGACAACAGUUGGAAACGACUGCUAAUACCGCAUACGAUCUAACCUCGGCAUCGAGGAUGGAUGAAAGGUGGCCUCUAUUUAUAAGCUAUCACUGAAGGAGGGG